CAGCAGCCGCGGGAAAACAGAGGGUGCAAGCGUUAAUCGGAAUUACUGGGCGUAAAGCGCGCGUAGGUGGUUUGUUAAGUUGGAUGUGAAAGCCCCGGGCUCAACCUGGGAACUGCAUCCAAAACUGGCAAGCUAGAGUACGGUAGAGGGUGGUGGAAUUUCCUGUGUAGCGGUGAAAUGCGUAGAUAUAGGAAGGAACACCAGUGGCGAAGGCGACCACCUGGACUGAUACUGACACUAAGGUGCGAAAGCGUGGGGAGCAAACAGGAUUAGAUACCCCAGUAGUCCCUGUCUCUUAUAA
Molecule: ribosomal RNA, 301 nt
Filed under: uncultured bacterium
Lineage: Bacteria
Description: partial 16S ribosomal RNA
Rfam family: Bacterial small subunit ribosomal RNA
Source: RNAcentral